Molecule: ribosomal RNA, 253 nt
Filed under: uncultured bacterium
Lineage: Bacteria
Description: partial 16S ribosomal RNA
Rfam family: Bacterial small subunit ribosomal RNA
Source: RNAcentral
UACGGAGGAUGCAAGCGUUAUCCGGAAUCACUGGGUUUAAAGGGUGCGUAGGCGGCCUUGUAAGUCAGAGGUGAAAGCUCGUGGCUUAACCAUGAAACUGCCUUUGAAACUACAAAGCUUGAAUUAGGCUGAGGUAUGCGGAAUGUGACAUGUAGCGGUGAAAUGCAUAGAUAUGUCAUAGAACACCAAUUGCGAAGGCAGCAUACUAGACCUUAAUUGACGCUGAGGCACGAAAGCGUGGGUAGCGAACAGG